This 1380-nucleotide ribosomal RNA is filed under the name uncultured bacterium. RNAcentral's name for it is "bacterial SSU rRNA". It matches the Rfam family "Bacterial small subunit ribosomal RNA". The record is from RNAcentral.
AGAGUUUGAUCCUGGCUCAGGACGAACGCUGGCGGCGUGCCUAACACAUGCAAGUCGAACGGGGUAAGGCCCUUCGGGACCUUACUUAGUGGCGAACGGGUGAGUAACGCGUGAGGAACCUGCCUUUCAGUGGGGGACAACAGUUGGAAACGACUGCUAAUACCGCAUAAAACCUUUGGGUCGCAUGAUCUGAAAGUCAAAGAUUUAUUGCUGAAAGAUGGCCUCGCGUCUGAUUAGCUAGUUGGAGGGGUAACGGCCCACCAAGCCAACGAUGGGUAGCCGAGCUGAGAGGCUGAUCGGCCACACUGGAACUGAGACACGGUCCAGACUCCUACGGGAGGCAGCAGUAGGGAAUAUUGGGCAAUGGGCGCAAGCCUGACCCAGCAACGCCGCGUGAGGGAAGAAGGUUUUCGGAUUGUAAACCUCUGUCCUAUGUGACGAAGGAAGUGACGGUAGCAUAGGAGGAAGCCCCGGCUAACUACGUGCCAGCAGCCGCGGUAAUACGUAGGUUGCAAGCGUUGUCCGGAUUUACUGGGUGUAAAGGGCGUGUAGGCGGAGAUGCAAGUUGGGAGUGAAAUCCAUGGGCUCAACCCAUGAACUGCUUUCAAAACUGCAUCCCUUGAGUAUCGGAGAGGCAAGCGGAAUUCCUAGUGUAGCGGUGAAAUGCGUAGAUAUUAGGAGGAACACCAGUGGCGAAGGCGGCUUGCUGGACGACAACUGACGCUGAGGCGCGAAAGCGUGGGGAGCAAACAGGAUUAGAUACCCUGGUAGUCCACGCUGUAAACGAUGAAUACUAGGUGUGGGAGGACUGACCCCUUCCGUGCCGCAGUUAACACAAUAAGUAUUCCACCUGGGGAGUACGACCGCAAGGUUGAAACUCAAAGGAAUUGACGGGCACCCGCACAAGCGGUGGAUUAUGUGGUUUAAUUCGACGCAACGCGAAGAACCUUACCGGGAUUUGACAUCCUACUAACGAAGCAGAGAUGCAUAAGGUGCCCUUCGGGGAAAGUAGAGACAGGUGGUGCAUGGUUGUCGUCAGCUCGUGUCGUGAGAUGUUGGGUUAAGUCCCGCAACGAGCGCAACCCUUAUCCCCAGUAGCCAGCACGUAGAGGUGGGCACUCUGAGGAGACUGCCAGGGAUAACCUGGAGGAAGGCGGGGAUGACGUCAAAUCAUCAUGCCCCUUAUGAUUUGGGCUACACACGUGCUACAAUGGCGUAAACAAAGGGAAGCGAAACCGCGAGGCGGAGCAAAUCCCAAAAAUAACGUCUCAGUUCGGAUUGUAGUCUGCAACUCGACUACAUGAAGCUGGAAUCGCUAGUAAUCGCGGAUCAGAAUGCUGCGGUGAAUACGUUCCCGGGUCUUGCACUCACCGCCCGUCA